GUGCCAGCCGCCGCGGUAAUACGUAGGCAGCAAGCGUUGUUCGGAAUUACUGGGCGUAAAGAGUGUGUAGGUGGUGUCGUAAGUUUGGUGUGAAAUCUCCCGGCUUAACUGGGAGGGUGCGCCGAAGACUGCGAUGCUGGAGUAUGGGAGAGGAAAGCGGAAUUCCUGGUGUAGCGGUGAAAUGCGUAGAUAUCAGGAGGAACACCUGCGGUGUAGACGGCUUUCUGGACCAUUACUGACACUGAGACACGAAAGCGUGGGUAGCAAACAGGAUUAGAAACCCCCGUAGUCC
RNAcentral lists this ribosomal RNA (292 nucleotides) under uncultured bacterium. Its description in RNAcentral is "partial 16S ribosomal RNA". It matches the Rfam family "Bacterial small subunit ribosomal RNA", at positions 505 to 796 of the family's 1533-position model. The record is from RNAcentral.